AGAGGAAGGAGAAGUCGUAACAAGGUUUCCGUAGGUGAACCUGCGGAAGGAUCAUUGUCGAGACCUCUGCCCAGCAGAACGACCCGCGAACUCGUGAAAACACCGGAGAGGGGGCGCRAGCUCCCCUCCACCCGCCCCGGGUGCGGGACCCGUCCCGUUCCCCGCGGCGGACCAACGAACCCACGGCGCGGACUGCGCCAAGGAAAUCUAACGAGAGAGCACGCUCMUGGGGCCCCAGACUCGGUGCGCCCCGGGACGCGGCGCCUUCUUUCACUUUAGUCCAUAACGACUCUCGGCAACGGAUAUCUCGGCUCUCGCAUCGAUGARAACGCAGC
RNAcentral lists this small RNA (335 nucleotides) under Geijera parviflora. RNAcentral's name for it is "eukaryotic LSU rRNA". The stretch from base 1 to 57 matches the Rfam family "Eukaryotic small subunit ribosomal RNA". Lineage: Eukaryota; Viridiplantae; Streptophyta; Magnoliopsida; Sapindales; Rutaceae. The record is from RNAcentral.